Molecule: transfer RNA, 82 nt
Filed under: Bacteroidota bacterium
Lineage: Bacteria; Pseudomonadati; Bacteroidota
Also listed under: 1 other name
Description: Bacteroidetes bacterium (activated sludge metagenome) tRNA-OTHER
Source: RNAcentral
GAAUAAAAAUAUUUGCGGUAGCGAUAAUUAGAGUUACUUCUUGCAAUGAACGAUGGCGUAGGUUCGAUUCCUACUUUCUCCA